RNAcentral lists this long non-coding RNA (709 nucleotides) under Rattus norvegicus (Norway rat). RNAcentral's name for it is "long non-coding RNA NONRATT030202". The record is from RNAcentral. Lineage: Eukaryota; Metazoa; Chordata; Mammalia; Rodentia; Muridae.
AGCAAUUGCAGCAGAGAAGACUGUGAGAGAUCGUGAGCUGCUGCCGCCAUGAUUCUGUAACAACAACUUCCUUGGUGAUCGGAGCCUGUAUGCUGCAGGCCCCCUGGUGGGCCUGUCAUCUCAAAAAAAGAUGCUUCAGUAAUCCAAAAGUUUGGACUCCAGUAUACUUCAGGCCAGGAAAGAAGCCAGCCUCCAUGAGUGAAAGAACAAAGGAAAAAUUACAUUGGAAAAAUAUGUGCCUCAUUUGGGAGAAAUGAACCUAAACUUCUAAGGCGUCCACCAUCUCCACCCCUCUUUUUUGAUUUUUGCAUAGCGAUGUUUUACAACUCCAGGUGGUAGUCAAAGGCAGAGCUCUUCCCAGAAAAGCCAUACAUGUUUUUGAGUCUUACAUCUGUGAAGUUAGCAGGCGUUAUAGCACAGAUUGAGCACACCUAGGAUAAGAACACAGAAGCCACAGAUGACAAUGCCAAAUGGACUUUCCCCUGAACUUAUGGACCCACUAAAAUUGAGGUUUAACCUGACCUCAGGCCAUUUGACUCCCUGCCCAUCCUGCUGAUUCUUAUGUUUGCUAGGAGUAAAGUAUCAAGGGGCAACCCCCAAUAUCCUCAUGCCUGGACUUGGAAAUUAAGGAAGACAGAUAUUGGAGAAGUGAUGGCUAUCGGGCUACAAUAUAGUAACACGCAGUCCAGGUUGAUAUUUACUCACUGAU